CAUGCGGUGGAGCAUGUAGUCUAAUUCGAAGCAACGUGUAGCACCUUACCAGGUCUUGACAUCCUGGGGCCCGGUGUAGAGAUACGCCUUUCCAUUCGGGGACAGCGGUGACAGGUGGUGCAUGGUUGUCGUCAGCUGGUGAUCGUGAGAUGUUGGGUUAAGUCCCGCAACGAGCGCAACCCUUGAUCUUAGUUGCCAGCAUUCAGUUGGGCAAUGUAAGGUGAUUGCCGGUGACAAACCGGAGGAAGGUGGGGAUGACGUCAAAUCAUCAUGCCCCUUAUGACCUGGGCUACACACGUGAUACAAUGGACGGUACAAAGGGCUGCAAACCCGGGAGGGGGAGCCAAUCCCAGAAAACCGUUAUCAGUUAGGAAUGCAGGAUGCAACUCGCCUGCAUGAAGCAGGAAUCGCUAGUAAUCGUGGAUCAGCACCCCACGGUGAAUACGUUCCCGGGCCUUGUACACACC
RNAcentral lists this ribosomal RNA (467 nucleotides) under uncultured bacterium. RNAcentral's name for it is "bacterial SSU rRNA". It matches the Rfam family "Bacterial small subunit ribosomal RNA", at positions 926 to 1391 of the family's 1533-position model. The record is from RNAcentral.